ACUGCUCAGUAACACGUCGGUAAUCUACCCUUAGGUCAGGGAUAUUCACGGGAAACUGUGGUUAACACCUGAUAAGAGACUCACCCUGGAAAGAUUUGUCUCCCAAAUUCGAGCCUAAGGAUGAGCCGGCGGCGGAUUAGGUUGUUGGCGGGGUAAUGGCCCACCAAGCCUUUGAUCCGUAAGGGCUCUUAGCGGAGAGGCCCUGAGAGAGAAUCUGAGACACUAUUCCCAGCCCUACGGGGUGCAGCAGUUAGGAAUAUUCUGCAAUGCGCGCAAGCGUGACAGAUUGAACCAGAGUGCUUUCCAACUGGAAAGCUUUUGCCAAAUGUAAAAAGUUUGGCGAAUAAGGACUGGGUAAGACGAGUGCCAGCCGCCGCGGUAAUACUCGCGGUCCAAGUCACAGCCAUUUUUAUUGGGUCUAAAACAUCCGUAGCUUGCUUGGUAAGUUUCCUGUGAAAUCCGGCUUCUUAAGAGUCGGGCGGGCAGGAAGUACUGCCAAGCUAGAGACUGGAAGACGUAAGAAGUACGAUUAAAGUAGCGGUAAAAUGUUUUGAUCUUAAUCGGACUCACAAUAGCGAAGGCAUCUUACGAGGACAGUUCUGACAGUAAGGGAUGAAGGCUAGGGGCGCAAAACGGAUUAGAUACCCGUGUAGUCCUAGCAGUAAACACUGCACACUAAACAUUAGUACCUCUUCGAGAGGUAUUAGUGCUGAGGGGAAGCCGAAGAGUGUGCUACCUGGGAAGUAUAGCCGCAAGGUCGAAACUUAAAGGAAUUGGCGGGGGAGCAC
This 788-nucleotide ribosomal RNA is filed under the name uncultured archaeon. RNAcentral describes it as "bacterial SSU rRNA". It matches the Rfam family "Archaeal small subunit ribosomal RNA", at positions 85 to 879 of the family's 1478-position model. The record is from RNAcentral.